This 187-nucleotide unclassified non-coding RNA is filed under the name fungal sp. RNAcentral describes it as "partial internal transcribed spacer region". The stretch from base 1 to 46 matches the Rfam family "Eukaryotic small subunit ribosomal RNA", at positions 1786 to 1831 of the family's 1831-position model. RNAcentral also lists the same sequence under 1 other name. The record is from RNAcentral. Lineage: Eukaryota; Fungi.
AAGUCGUAACAAGGUUUCCGUAGGUGAACCUGCGGAAGGAUCAUUAUUUGAUCUGAAUUGGCGGCAUUUGAAAAAUGCAGCCUUUUUGCUUUGUGAACUGUCUUGUACUGUUGUUUUUUUUAAUAGUUGCUUUUUUUCUUCGGAAAAAAAAUAAAGACAACUUUCAGCAAUGGAUCUCUUGGCUCUU